RNAcentral lists this long non-coding RNA (299 nucleotides) under Salvia miltiorrhiza (redroot sage). RNAcentral's name for it is "long non-coding RNA (SMIL_LNC005116)". Lineage: Eukaryota; Viridiplantae; Streptophyta; Magnoliopsida; Lamiales; Lamiaceae. The record is from RNAcentral.
CGUCGAAAUCGCCGGUUAAUCGAGAAUGCUUCAUGAAGCGGUCGUAGGGCGCCUUGAGGCUGUCCGGCGCGCGGUAGCAGGAGUAGUCGACGAGGUAAACGGGUCGGGGGCGGGUCAUGAUGUAGACGGUGGAUCCGAAGACGAGGAAGGCGGAGCAGGUGAUGACCGAGACGAGAUUGUAUUGCAGAUGCAGCCACAGCUGCCGCACGUCAUCGGGAUUCAUCUGCGACGCCUCAAUGAUGAUGAUGACCAUGAUUGGGACCAGACACAGCGUUAUCAAAUGAGAGAUCAAGUAAUGG